RNAcentral lists this ribosomal RNA (492 nucleotides) under uncultured bacterium. RNAcentral's name for it is "partial 16S ribosomal RNA". It matches the Rfam family "Bacterial small subunit ribosomal RNA", at positions 29 to 507 of the family's 1533-position model. The record is from RNAcentral.
AGUGAACGCUGGCGGUAGGCCUAACACAUGCAAGUCGAACGGCAGCACAGUAAGAGCUUGCUCUUACGGGUGGCGAGUGGCGGACGGGUGAGGGAUACAUCGGAAUCUACUUUUUCGUGGGGGAUAACGUAGGGAAACUUACGCUAAUACCGCAUACGACCUACGGGUGAAAGCAGGGGAUCUUCGGACCUUGCGCGAUUGAAUGAGCCGAUAUCGGAUUAGCUAGUUGGCGGGGUAAAGGCCCACCAAGGCGACGAUCCGUAGCUGGUCUGAGAGGAUGAUCAGCCACACUGGAACUGAGACACGGUCCAGACUCCUACGGGAGGCAGCAGUGGGGAAUAUUGGACAAUGGGCGCAAGCCUGAUCCAGCCAUACCGCGUGGGUGAAGAAGGCCUUCGGGUUGUAAAGCCCUUUUGUUGGGAAAGAAAAGCAGCAGGUUAAUACCCCGCUGUUCUGACGGUACCCAAAGAAUAAGCACCGGCUAACUUCGUG